AUGGCAACCACCGCUUGUUUCAUUAUUGUUAGCAGAAAUGAUAUUCCUAUAUAUGAAGCUGAAGUUGGAGUAGCUGCUAAAAGGGAGGAUGCUGCUCAGCUGCAUCAAUUUAUCCUACAUGCUGCUCUCGAUGUUGUCCAGGACCUUGCAUGGACUACUAGUGCUAUGUACUUGAAAUCGGUAGAUAGGUUUAAUGAACUCGUGGUGUCCGUGUACGUCACAGCUGGUCAUAUCCUUUAUUGUAGAGAAUUAAUUUACAUCUGA
This 264-nucleotide long non-coding RNA is filed under the name Vicia faba (fava bean). Lineage: Eukaryota; Viridiplantae; Streptophyta; Magnoliopsida; Fabales; Fabaceae. The record is from RNAcentral.